CCGGGCGACCGGCGCACGGGUGAGUAACGCGUAUGCAACCUGCCCGUUUCAGCGGGAUAACCCGGAGAAAUCCGGCCUAAUACCGCAUGUGGCCGAGGGGAGGCAUCUUCUUUCGGCCAAAGGAGGCGACUCCGGAGACGGAUGGGCAUGCGUGACAUUAGCUAGUUGGCGGGGUAACGGCCCACCAAGGCGACGAUGUCUAGGGGUUCUGAGAGGAAGGUCCCCCACACUGGUACUGAGACACGGACCAGACUCCUACGGAAGGCAGCAG
This 271-nucleotide ribosomal RNA is filed under the name uncultured bacterium. RNAcentral describes it as "partial 16S ribosomal RNA". It matches the Rfam family "Bacterial small subunit ribosomal RNA", at positions 87 to 354 of the family's 1533-position model. The record is from RNAcentral.